UUUACAUCAAAAAACGAGCCCAAAAUUCCUUCAUCAAUGCAGCCCAUGUUUCCACCCAAACGGCCCUAAUCGCCUGAUAUUCAGUCAAAAAUAUAACCAGCUACCAAAGGCUUUACCCAAAUCCUAGAUACAAACAGCCACAUCUUCUUCUUUCCUCUUCUCCCUUAUUCCAUUUCUAGAUAAACAACGAGGUCUUCAAUCAUGGAAGAGGUUGUCUUCUCCAUUUCGUGCUAUUGUCAUCUCAAUCAUUUGAAGAUCCAACUAACCUCAAAUGUUCAAAUUUGAGUCCUUUGACCAAAAUUCCAAACCUCAAGCUCUAAUUCCAGCUCAAGAAACCCUAAUUUAUGGCUAUAAAUACUUGGUUAAACUUUAGCCUCAUCAAAUUUAUAGCCGCCUCCUUCACCCAAAAUCUUGAUAAUUUUUUUUUUUUAGUUUCUUUAGCUUUGUUCUUCCCUGUUGGCACCAGCCACAACAGAGACUUUGCAUUUCAACUCACUCGAGUCAGUCUCCCUUUGAUUCACAAAAAAGGUAUACAUCUGAGGCUCAAAGACCCCUUAGUUUGCUGCACCACAAAAGCCGAGGGUCUUUCGGAAACAACCGCUCUACCUUUCAAGGUGGGGGUUAGGUCUGCGUACACUCUACCCUCCCCAGACCCCACAUUAUGGGAUUAUACUGGGUUUGUUGUUGUUGUUGUCUGCAUGAGCACAUUGGAGCCCACAAGGAGUCUCCAUUGAGACUCGAUGGGCUGCUAGACUUGAGACGUGCAUCUUCUUUUCAUUCUCUUUGUCUCUCUCCCUUGCAAUAGUUCCGAACAAAAGCAAAAUCAAGAAGCAUGAAGAAAUCUAGAGUCUACUUUCGUCUUCUUCAUUCACUCUUCUCCUUCUUUUGUAAUACCUAUGAAAAUAGGGGAAGAAGACAAAAAGAUUGUUGUGUUUGUCUUUUAGAUAUCUUAUAAUUUAUUAAUUGUUAUGUGUUUCUUA
Long non-coding RNA from Solanum dulcamara, 980 nucleotides. RefSeq lists it as uncharacterized. Lineage: Eukaryota; Viridiplantae; Streptophyta; Magnoliopsida; Solanales; Solanaceae. The record is from RefSeq and is a predicted model, not a curated record. The transcript has 2 exons.